Molecule: ribosomal RNA, 115 nt
Filed under: Frullania nodulosa
Lineage: Eukaryota; Viridiplantae; Streptophyta; Jungermanniopsida; Porellales; Frullaniaceae
Description: partial 26S ribosomal RNA
Rfam family: Eukaryotic large subunit ribosomal RNA
Source: RNAcentral
UUGGACCUCAGAUCAGGCAAGAUCACCCGCUGAGUUUAAGCAUAUCACUAAGCGGAGGAAAAGAAACUAACAAGGAUUUCCUUAGUAACGGCGAGCGAACCGGAAGUAGCCCAGC